RNAcentral lists this long non-coding RNA (415 nucleotides) under Brassica napus (rape). Its description in RNAcentral is "long non-coding RNA (BNAP_LNC012562)". Lineage: Eukaryota; Viridiplantae; Streptophyta; Magnoliopsida; Brassicales; Brassicaceae. The record is from RNAcentral.
UUCUGAAUCUGAGAUGGAACAUAUGGAUUCAUAUUUGGUCAUAGAUACUAAAUAUACUGAUUUGACCAAUAUCCGUUUCAACAAUUUCCAUAAAAAUGUAUGGAAAAAAAAAACAAUCAUUUUCUUCAUUCUUCUUCUAGUUUCUUCAUGUAAGUUUUCCAAAAAUUUGUCAUUUCGUUUUAGGCGUUAAAUAAUUAAUUAUAUAUGUAAAUAUUAAUCAAUACAUGUUUCUUUGACCUAAUUUAGCGUUUAUUUGCAAAUAUUCUUUUGAUCGAAGAUAGUCUUUUUUUGUAGACACAACGACCAGAUAAAAAUGAUGAAACUUAUGAAAAUUAAGCAAUAAAUUAAGACAAUAACAAAGAAAAUGAGUGUUACUAGUUACAUUUUGUUUUUCUUCCUCUUCACCUCCCACCUC